AUUGAACGCUGGCGGCAGGCCUAACACAUGCAAGUCGAACGAGUGGCGGACGGGUGAGUAAUGUCUGGGAAACUGCCCGAUUGAGGGGGAUAACUACUGGAAACGGUAGCUAAUACCGCAUACCAUCGGAUGUGCCCAUAUGGGAUUAGCUUGUAGGUGAGGUAACGGCUCACCUAGGCGACGAUCCCUAGCUGGCCUGAGAGGAUGACCAGCCACACUGGAAGUGGGACACGGUGCAGACUCGUACGGGAGGAAGCAGUGGGGAAUAUUGCAAAAAUGGCGCAAGCCUGAUGCAGCCACGCCGCGUGUAUGAAGAAGGCCUUCGGGUUGUAAAGUACUUUCAGCGGGGAGGCGGUACCCGCAGAAGAAGCACCGGCGAACUCCGUGCCAGCAGCAGCGGUAAGUC
Molecule: ribosomal RNA, 406 nt
Filed under: uncultured bacterium
Lineage: Bacteria
Description: partial 16S ribosomal RNA
Rfam family: Bacterial small subunit ribosomal RNA
Source: RNAcentral